Molecule: ribosomal RNA, 431 nt
Filed under: uncultured bacterium
Lineage: Bacteria
Description: partial 16S ribosomal RNA
Rfam family: Bacterial small subunit ribosomal RNA
Source: RNAcentral
AGCGAACGCUGGCGGCAGGCUUAACACAUGCCAGUCGAGCGCCCCGCAAGGGGAGCGGCAGACGGGAGAGUAACACGUGGGAACAUACCUUUUGGUUCGGAACAACUGAGGGAAACUUCAGCUAAUACCGGAUAAGCCCUUACGGGGAAAGAUUUAUCGCCGAAAGAUUGGCCCGCGUCUGAUUAGCUAGUUGGUGAGGUAACGGCUCACCAAGGCGCCGAUCAGUAGCUGGUCUGAGAGGAUGAUCAGCCUCACUGGGACUGAGACACGGCCCAGACUCCUACGGGAGGCAGCAGUGGGGAAUAUUGGACAAUGGGGGCAACCCUGAUCCAGCCAUGCCGCGUGAGUGAUGAAGGCCUUAGGGUUGUAAAGCUCUUUUGCCCGGGAAGAUAAUGACGGUACCGGGAGAAUAAGCCCCGGCUAACUUCGUG